This 559-nucleotide ribosomal RNA is filed under the name Salmonella enterica. Its description in RNAcentral is "partial 23S ribosomal RNA". It matches the Rfam family "Bacterial large subunit ribosomal RNA", at positions 711 to 1266 of the family's 2925-position model. RNAcentral also lists the same sequence under 1 other name. Lineage: Bacteria; Pseudomonadati; Pseudomonadota; Gammaproteobacteria; Enterobacterales; Enterobacteriaceae. The record is from RNAcentral.
AGACCCGAAACCCGGUGAUCUAGCCAUGGGCAGGUUGAAGGUUGGGUAACACUAACUGGAGGACCGAACCGACUAAUGUUGAAAAAUUAGCGGAUGACCUGUGGCUGGGGGUGAAAGGCCAAUCAAACCGGGAGAUAGCUGGUUCUCCCCGAAAGCUAUUUAGGUAGCGCCUCGUGAAUUCAUCUCCGGGGGUAGAGCACUGUUUCGGCUAGGGGGCCAUCCCGGCUUACCAACCCGAUGCAAACUGCGAAUACCGGAGAAUGUUAUCACGGGAGACACACGGCGGGUGCUAACGUCCGUCGUGAAGAGGGAAACAACCCAGACCGCCAGCUAAGGUCCCAAAGUCAUGGUUAAGUGGGAAACGAUGUGGGAAGGCCCAGACAGCCAGGAUGUUGGCUUAGAAGCAGCCAUCAUUUAAAGAAAGCGUAAUAGCUCACUGGUCGAGUCGGCCUGCGCGGAAGAUGUAACGGGGCUAAACCAUGCACCGAAGCUGCGGCAGCGACGCUUAUGCGUUGUUGGGUAGGGGAGCGUUCUGUAAGCCUGCGAAGGUGGCCUGUGA